GGGGAUGUGGCUCAGCGGGAGAGCGUUCGGUUCGCAUCCGAGAGGUCGUGGGUUCGAACCCCAUCAUCUCCACCA
RNAcentral lists this transfer RNA (75 nucleotides) under Bacillota bacterium. RNAcentral describes it as "tRNA-Ala". It matches the Rfam family "tRNA". From Rfam's summary of the family: Transfer RNA (tRNA) molecules are approximately 80 nucleotides in length. Their secondary structure includes four short double-helical elements and three loops (D, anti-codon, and T loops). Lineage: Bacteria; Bacillati; Bacillota. RNAcentral also lists the same sequence under 2 other names. The record is from RNAcentral.